This 226-nucleotide long non-coding RNA is filed under the name Vigna radiata. RNAcentral's name for it is "long non-coding RNA (VRAD_LNC008548)". Lineage: Eukaryota; Viridiplantae; Streptophyta; Magnoliopsida; Fabales; Fabaceae. The record is from RNAcentral.
UUUUUUAAUUUAUUAUUUUAUUCAUGAAAUCCCAAAAAAUAAAAUAUUUUCUUCACUCACUGUGUAUAGCAAAACAGUAACCUCUGCUCUCACAAAUCACUCUCACGGUACUUGCUCUCAUUUGACGGUGCUCUCACCCUCACUUCACUGAAAUUCUUCAAGGAGCAGGUAAAACACCCUUCCUUUUUUCUUCUCUUUUCUCCACAUUUUUGUUUUCUCACUUCUC